This 23-nucleotide non-coding RNA is filed under the name Arabidopsis thaliana (thale cress). Lineage: Eukaryota; Viridiplantae; Streptophyta; Magnoliopsida; Brassicales; Brassicaceae. The record is from RNAcentral.
UCUCAAAUGUUGCAAUGUUGUGA